AAUAUUGCGCAAUGGAGGGAACCCUGCCGCAGCGACGCCGCGUGAGCGAUGAAGGNCUNNGGAUCNUNAAGCUCUGUCCUUGGNNNNNCAGGUCUUCGGACUUGACGGUACCUAAGGAGGAAGCCCCGGCUACCUACGUGCCAGCAGCCGCGGUAAAACGUAGGGGCCAAGCGUGGGCCGGCAUUGUUGGGCGGAAAGGGUGCGUAGGCGGCCUUUUAAGUCAGAUGUGAAAGCCCACGGCUUAACCGUGGGACUGCAUUUGAAGCUGGAGGGCUUGAGUAUCGGAGAGGGUAGUGGAAUUCCCAGUGUAGCGGUGGAAUGCGUAGAUAUUGGGAGGAACACCAGUGGCGAAGGCGACUACCUGGACGAAAACUGACGCUGAGGCACGAAAGCUAGGGGAGCAAACA
Molecule: ribosomal RNA, 407 nt
Filed under: uncultured bacterium
Lineage: Bacteria
Description: partial 16S ribosomal RNA
Rfam family: Bacterial small subunit ribosomal RNA
Source: RNAcentral